UUGCUGCUGGUGUGAUUUACUAUCGCAAACGUCAAGCAGGACAACAUAACGAUGUUACAGACACGGUGAUGCAGUUCAGUGAUCAGAUGGAAAAAGACCCUGUUGAUGACUCCUGCCAAUGAAUCAGACUGAAACUGGGGCUGCCAAUGAGACAUCACAGAAACUUUAUUAUGUUGAUACUUUCAUUUAAAGGGAACAUAAAGAAAAGUUGGGAAACCAAUAGUGUCACGAUACCAAGAUUUCAGUAUUCAGUACUGAUGCCAGUGAAACCAAAUUCAGCUAAUUAAAAUUCAAACUAAUUAGCUAUAAUUCAGUUUUAAGUGAUUUAAAUAAUAAAAAUGUAGCCUAAUUUUUUUUGUUAUUAUGUAACAUAGCUUCAGAAUAGACAAACCGUAAAUUAGCAACUAAAUGAUUAAAGUUUGAGAAAGCCUGACCAGAAAGUUUCGAGUAGUUUUAAAAGCAUAAUGUUUAAAGGUUUUGAAGGCCAUGCAGUCUAUCAGAAAAAAACAGACAGAAUCAAAUAACAUGUUGGCUUUCUCAUUAAGAAACAGAGAAAAAUAUUAAUUCCAAUAGUUCAAAGAGUGCUUGAGGGUUCUUUCAGUAUGUCAGUGUUUAUUAAAGGUGCUAAAGUUACAUCUUUAGAAUUUUCGUAUUAGCAACUUUACAGUUCUACACGGGAAGAUCCCUGAUGAAAACACCAGUAUGCUGUUGUUCCCAAGAUUCACUGUACUAAAAACUGGUGUUUUCAGCAGAAAUCCUUUUAUAUUAAAGUUAAUAAGCUUUGUGCUUUUGUCUGUUUGUGGCGUCUUACAUUUGUUGUUAAAGGUUCAAAUCCUGCAAGGGUUGAUCCAUGAAAUCUCACCACUGUGUCCUUGAUCA
Molecule: long non-coding RNA, 879 nt
Organism: Sinocyclocheilus rhinocerous
Lineage: Eukaryota; Metazoa; Chordata; Actinopteri; Cypriniformes; Cyprinidae
Exons: 3
Source: RefSeq, a predicted model, not a curated record